Molecule: long non-coding RNA, 1117 nt
Filed under: Phoenix dactylifera (date palm)
Lineage: Eukaryota; Viridiplantae; Streptophyta; Magnoliopsida; Arecales; Arecaceae
Description: long non-coding RNA (PDAC_LNC011321)
Source: RNAcentral
UCUAUUCUAUAUUCCAGCUGCAAAACAAGGUUUUUAUAUGAAGUCUCAGAGUUUGGAUUUCUGAGUUUACUUAUACAACCAUGGGCUUUGGCCAACUUGGAUUUGCUGAGCAAGUUGGUAGGCAUCAUCCAAUUUUUCUCUUGACCCCUAACUACACGUCGAUAGCACUUGCACAUACAGGACUAAUCUUCAUCUCUCACUCUAUGCUGAUGACCAAUCACUGAAAUUCACUUUUGGAUUUGAAAAAAAUCACAGCAAAAAGCAGUAAAAACAAUUACAAUUGAUACUUGUCCUAAACCUUUUUGAUAUGCGGAUGAUACUGAAUGACAUAUUGAUAGAAGAAAAUGCAAACACUACAAUGGAUCUGUAUGCUAGUGAGAGAGAAAACAACUUGCUUGAGGGAGAGGGAUGAAGAAUAAACCUUUAUGCUGGAUUCGAUCAUUUCAGUAUCACAAUCUACUCAUUUCCAAAACAGCAAAAAAGGUAAAGGACUCAAUAAUCUAAAAUUGUUAGGAAAAAAAAAUUUCACCAUUCAAGUCCUUGCUAGAAAUACAACCAAAAAAACAAGAUAAGUAGGCUAGCUGUUAACAAGAUGAAUAUUAAGCUUUUGUCCUUUCAUGCUUUGAUGCAAAUUAAGUUCAAUGGGUUUGAACUCAAAUUUUCCAAGAUAACAUGAACAUUUUUGGGUCUUCAUGGUACAAAUGUAUAUCAAAAUGUUAAAACUAGCAAAAAAUUCAACGGUCUAGUAAGCUGAACUUUGAUCUGUCUCCACUGCUUUGUUUUAACACCUAAAACUAUCCUCUAAACAUAUAAGUAUUAAACCAAGGUUUGUGUCUUAGAAAAAUGUCGUUAUCAGUGUACUUCAUGUCAUCUUCCUCCUUCUCAUAUAUUUUACAGGAAAUAUCUUUGGUGGUCAGUUUGCUAUGAAACAAUGCACGUAAGCUCUAGGGUGGAAAAGCCGACCAACUUGCUGUUCAUUUUUUUUUCAGAAAAAUCCACCUUGAUUUUGUCAGGUUGAGAUUUGCUGGCGUAGAUGAUAAAGAAAUGAAGUAACAAUCUUCAACAAACAGAUAUGGAGUGUUUUAUUUGUCGGAGUCCAAUAUUAUCUGACGUCAAU